RNAcentral lists this ribosomal RNA (308 nucleotides) under Lactobacillus taiwanensis. RNAcentral's name for it is "bacterial SSU rRNA". It matches the Rfam family "Bacterial small subunit ribosomal RNA", at positions 369 to 669 of the family's 1533-position model. Lineage: Bacteria; Bacillati; Bacillota; Bacilli; Lactobacillales; Lactobacillaceae. The record is from RNAcentral.
CAAUGGACGAAAGUCUGAUGGAGCAACGCCGCGUGAGUGAAGAAGGGUUUCGGCUCGUAAAGCUCUGUUGGUAGUGAAGAAAGAUAGAGGUAGUAACUGGCCUUUAUUUGACGGUAAUUACUUAGAAAGUCACGGCUAACUACGUGCCAGCAGCCGCGGUAAUACGUAGGUGGCAAGCGUUGUCCGGAUUUAUUGGGCGUAAAGCGAGUGCAGGCGGUUCAAUAAGUCUGAUGUGAAAGCCUUCGGCUCAACCGGAGAAUUGCAUCAGAAACUGUUGAACUUGAGUGCAGAAGAGGAGAGUGGAACUC